RNAcentral lists this ribosomal RNA (353 nucleotides) under uncultured bacterium. Its description in RNAcentral is "partial 16S ribosomal RNA". It matches the Rfam family "Bacterial small subunit ribosomal RNA", at positions 338 to 708 of the family's 1533-position model. The record is from RNAcentral.
CCUACGGGUGGCAGCAGUAGGGAAUAUUGCUCAAUGGGGGAAACCCUGAAGCAGCAACGCCGCGUGAAUGAUGAAGGUUUUCGGAUUGUAAACUCCUUUUGUUAGAGAAGAUAAUGACGGUAUCUAACGAAUAAGCACCGGCUAACUCCGUUCCAGCAGCCGCGGUUAUACGGAGGGUGCAAGCGUUACUCGGAAUCACUGGGCGUAAAGAGAGCGUAGGCGGGAUAGCAAGUCAGAUGUGAAAUCCUAUGGCUUAACCAUCGAACUGCAUUUGAAACUGUUAUGCUAGAGUGUGGGAGAGGUAGGUGGAAUUCUUGGUGUAGGGGUGAAAUGCGUAGAGAUCAAGAGGAACA